This 434-nucleotide ribosomal RNA is filed under the name uncultured bacterium. RNAcentral describes it as "bacterial SSU rRNA". It matches the Rfam family "Bacterial small subunit ribosomal RNA", at positions 29 to 507 of the family's 1533-position model. The record is from RNAcentral.
AGCGAACGCUGGCGGCAGGCCUAACACAUGCAAGUCGAACGAACCCUUCGGGGUUAGUGGCGGACGGGUGAGUAACACGUGGGAACGUACCUUUAGGUUCGGAACAACACAGGGAAACUUGUGCUAAUGCCGAAUGUGCCCUUCGGGGGAAAGAUUUAUCGCCUUUAGAGCGGCCCGCGUCUGAUUAGCUUGUUGGUGAGGUAAAGGCUCACCAAGGCUACGAUCAGUAGCUGGUCUGAGAGGAUGAUCAGCCACACUGGGACUGAGACACGGCCCAGACUCCUACGGGAGGCAGCAGUGGGGAAUCUUGCGCAAUGGGCGAAAGCCUGACGCAGCCAUGCCGCGUGAAUGAUGAAGGUCUUAGGAUUGUAAAAUUCUUUCACCGGGGAAGAUAAUGACGGUACCCGGAGAACGAAGCCCCGGCUAAACUCGUG